This 216-nucleotide ribosomal RNA is filed under the name uncultured bacterium. Its description in RNAcentral is "partial 16S ribosomal RNA". It matches the Rfam family "Bacterial small subunit ribosomal RNA", at positions 118 to 351 of the family's 1533-position model. The record is from RNAcentral.
UGGGAACCUUCCCUAUGGUUCGGAAUAGCUCAGGGAAACUUGGGGUAAUACCGGAUAAGCCCUUCGGGGGAAAGAUUUAUCGCCAUUGGAUGGGCCCGCGUCGGAUUAGCUAGUUGGUGAGGUAACGGCUCACCAAGGCAACGAUCCGUAGCUGGUCUGAGAGGAUGAUCAGCCACACUGGGACUGAGACACGGCCCAGACUCCGUACGGAGGCAG